Molecule: long non-coding RNA, 714 nt
Filed under: Equus caballus (horse)
Lineage: Eukaryota; Metazoa; Chordata; Mammalia; Perissodactyla; Equidae
Description: lncRNA (ENSECAG00000053312.1)
Source: RNAcentral
CUGAGGUGGAGAGGGCAGGCCUUAUCCUGUCUCACAGAGAAGGACACUGUGGCUCAGGGAUGUCAAAGGUCUCGACCAAGAUCACAAAUUCUGUGGAUCAGGAGUUAAGGCGUGACUGAGCUGGAUGGCUCUGGCUCAGGGAUUCCCAUGAGGUUGAAAUCAAGAUGUCAAUCAGGACUACAGUCAUCUGAGGGCUUGCCUGGAGCUGGAGGAUCUGUUUCCAAGAUGGCGCCCUCACCAAGCUGUUGACAGGAGGCCUCAGACCUUCGCCACAUGGCCUCUCCAUAAGGCUGCUUGAGUGUCCUCGCAGACAUGUCAGACCUAUUUCCCCAUCUGCAAAAUAAGAAGACCGACUUCAAUGACCACUAAGGUUUCAUUUUCAGUCAGUUGUGUCCCAGCGUUCCAGCGCUGAGACCCUAGGCCUUGACCGCAGACCUCAGGCAGCCUCCUCCCGCUCCCCCUCCCUCCCUGCAAGACUCGCUGGCUCUUGGCCCCAAAUGCAACUACCUCCCAUCAGUGCCUAAGCCAUACCUGGGUUUAUCAGCAUCUCUAGGGUGGGACCCAAACAUCAGUAGGUUUUACAUCUCCCAAGUGAUUCCAACAUGCAGCCAUGGUUGAGGACCACUGCUCCAACUGCUCCACGUGAACCCUCACAUGGAGAAUCUUUCACCAAAUAAAACGACAUCGUAUUUGACUAAUUACUGAUUUGUCUUU